AUGUGCUCACGUAUCGUCCGGCCACGCAGGGACCCGGGACGCUCAGCCCUUUCUGCGCCCUCGCCCUCUCCAGGGCGGCACCUGACCAGAACUGUAAGCAGACGCCGCCAGCACCCCGGAAGACGGGCUAUGGUUUUCCGGCCACCUCCUGCCCGUUUCUCAUUAAAGCUUGAGAAGGAGGAGGGUGGUUGUGUCCCAGGAGCUGGGCUGGCACCCUCAGUGAGGUUGCGAGGCUCUCCUGGAGAACACAAACCAUUCCUCAGGACAUCAGCAGCAGGCAAGACCCCAGAUGGUCCCAUCAAGACAAAGACAAGCCACUCCAGAAUCUUGUCUGAAUGCAGACAGAUGGGAGCGUCUCUCAGGCCAGGAGUGCCAGCCGUGUCGUCUCCUAGCCCACAUGGUGACUGCUGCUUUGGCCUUGGUGACAGCCUGUCCUGCUCUUGGCAGGCCUCCUGGGGGAUGAGGUUUAUGAAGAUUCCAGUGUAUACGUACCUCCCCCUGCUUCCUGACAGUGCUCAACUCAGAGCCAGCCCCCUCUCCCCUUAGUCCACCCCUGGCCAGCUGGCACACAAACACAGCCUGUGGCAAGGCUCUUUCUAGCCUCUCACGAUACCCUCCGCAGCGCCAUGGCACAUUCUUGCAGAAUGGAACAGUAAAUCCAGUUGUAGUUGAACAACAGGUGCGUCUCUGGUAGGCACACUAGGCAGCAGCUCAUUGGCCUGUAUUUAAAAUAUGAACGUGUGCAUGACUGCAAAGGCAUAGAUCCUCACUUUCUGCAAACUGGAAUUGCUGUUCUCAAAGUUUAAAACCACAUUUGCAAUACAUGACAUCCACAGCCUGAGUGGAAGGAGACACAUGCAGGGGGUGGGCUGGGCCUGGGGGCCAGGCGACCCUUGGGCAGAGAAUGUGGGAGCAUGGAGAGGGUGUGUGGGGCAGGAAGGGUCACGGAGUGCUUUGAGCAAAGAGUGUGUGAUCCUGUCUGCCCUUGGUGCCGUCCACUGGGGCUGGUCAGCGAGGGCGAGUCCAUCAUGGUGAUGGGGACACGUGACAAAACUAGAAGCCUUGGGGGAGCUGGGCGAAGGGAGCAGGCACCCAUGAUGCUGCCGCUGCAGUUUUCUAUAAGUUCUUUAAUUAUUUCAAAUUAAAAUAUUUUAAAAUGACCAUGUCCCUAAAGGAGGGAUAAUAGUAAGCCACACGAUAGAGAUUAGCCUGUACUCAGACCCACUUCAGCUCCAGCUGCGAAGCUUCUGCUCUCCGAUUCCAGAGCCUGGUGGUGUUACGGAGGCCCCCGUGGAUGUUACAGCGAUGUGGAUGUUAUGCUACAGACAUCAUGGUAAUGACACUUUGGAGUCUCGGGUGAUUUCCCCGUGCUGUGCAGGCGGCAGGAUUUUCGAUUUCCCUUUUCCCACAUGAGCCCUUCCCCUACCGGGCAUCGAGACUGAGCACCCUUUGCCCCAGGCUGGAAGUCACAGAGAAGGCCAUCUACUUGUGUUUCUCCCUCCCACGGAGCUUCCCUGCCUCUGGUCAUCACCUGGGUCCCUCUCAAAGACCACAGAGGCUGCUCUCAGGUCUAACUUUCCGUCUUGGUUGUGCUGCCUACAGUGAGUUUCACACUUGCAUGUUUCAGGCAGAUAGAUGAUUGCAAAGAGUGUGGGGAUACCCUGGGUGGCUCUUUCCCCUCUGGGAUUCUUCUUCUUCCUUCUUCCUUCUUUCUUCUUCUUCCCCCUCUUCUCCCUCCCCUCUCCCUCCCUUCCCCUCCCGUUUCCCUCCCUUCCUCUCCCCCUCUCCUUCCCUUCUGUCACCCAAGCCGGAGUGCAGUAGCAAAAUGACAGCUCACUGCAGCUUUGAACUCCUGGCCUCAAGUGAUCCACCCACCUCAGCCUCCUGAGUAGCUGGGACUACAGGUGUGCACCACUACUCCCAGUUACAUUUUUAUUUUUUGUAGAGAUGGAACCUUGCUAUGUUGCCCAGGGUGAACUCAACCCCUCUGGGAUUCUACUGGGGAGUUACAGUGUCUCUGGGGCACAAGGGAUUGACUUGAUCACGACUGCCAUUUCUCAGAUGGUGACCCAGGUGCUUGAGAAGCUCAUGCCUUUCCGGGCCCAUCUCAGAGGCAGCAGGGAUGAUCAUCAAGGGUCUUCCUUGUGACUGAUGGGGAGCAACCAUUCAGGGGCCCUGGUGGGGUGCCUGGCAGGGCACAGCCUGCCACACCAUUCCAAAGGUUCAGACUGUGACCUGCACACUGCAGGUGUCCCUUGUCCAUCCCUGCAGGGAAGAGCAUGGCCAUCUCCGUUAGGCAGUGCCUUGGGUGUCCAGAUGGCUCCUGGGGUGACACUGCAGGUCUGAGAGGACUUGGAUUGGAGAAAGGAACUGGAGGGAUGGAGCAAGAUUGGGCUCACAGGCUCAGCAUCCCCAGUGAGCUGUGGUGACAUGAGCCCAAGUGGGAAUAGGUGUGUCUGCCUCUGUGGGGUCCCAAGUUGGUGCCUGGGGAGGGCAGGGCUGAGGGAUUGCUGGGAGGUGAGUGUUGAGAGGCCUAGGAGGCCACGUCCAUGAAAGGGGCUGAAUACCUGGGGUGGGGGCUGGGUCUGAGGGGAGGGGAGUAGGUAUAACUGGGGGAGCUGGUGGGAGGACUCCAGCCCAGCUGCUCAGGGGAGCCCUGAGUCACUUUGAGGGUGUGAGGAGAGUGGAGGAAGUGGACGGCCCUGGUGCCCCAGGUGAGGGAUGGGCUGCAGGGGGCCAGCCUUGUGAAGGACAGACUCAAUUUGGAGGUGAGUUCGGGAGCAUGCAGGUGGGGACCCAAGAGACCAGGGGGAUGCUGGGGCAGGUGGGGCAGAGAGACCGAAGACUGAGGCCGAGCAGGACCUGGGGGAGAGGAGAGAGGGUGUAGGGAGGAAAAAGAGGGCAGCGUCACCAACUCAUCAACUAAAGGAUGAUUGGGGCAGGCCAGGAGCUAAGCAGGCGGUGGGGUGAUGGGGGAGAUGCAGCCCCCACAGGGCAGCGGGGCCCUGGGCACUGGUUUAUGUGUGAACAGGUGGCCGAGUCCUCUAGAGGCGUGGGAAGUAAACAUGAAACCCACAACUGCACACGUGUCAUCCCUUGUUCUUGUCAUGGCGUUAAUCUCCAAGUGGCUUUGUUCUUCCCCAGGCGCAGAAUGAAGCAACCCAGGUCAUCGCUGUCCUGGAGCCGCCCCCGCCUACUUUGUCUUUUCUUCUUGGCCAGUAUUGAUGCCUGACACACACUGGUUAAUUUACAUGUAGGUCCGUAUGUUUAUUGCGGCACUAUUCACAAUAGCAAAGACUUGGAACCAACCCGAAUAUCCAUCAAUAAUAGACUGGAUUAAGAAAAUGUGGCACAUAUACACCAUGGAAUACUAUGCAGCCAUAAAAAAGGAUGAAUUCAUGUCCUUUGCAGGGACAUUGAAGCUAGAAACCAUCGUUCUCAGCAAAUUAUCACAAGGACAGAAAACCAAACACCGCAUGAUCUCACUCAUAAGUGGGAAUUGAACAAUGAGAACACUUGGAGGCAGGGUGGGGAAAGUCACACACCCAGGGCCUCUGGGGGAGGGGGUGGGGGGCUGGGGGAGGGUUAGCAUUAGGAGAAAUACCUAAUGUAAAUGACGAGUUGAUGGGUGCAGCAAGCCGACAUGGCACAUGUAUACCUAUGUAACACACCUGCACGUUAAAAAAAUUUACGUGUAGGUUAAGCCAGGGGUGUGAACUCUGGCCCUGUUCUGCCCCGAGAGACUGCUAGAUCCUGGGCUGGGUCCCCUCCCGCAGGCGCCUGGCCCCGCCCCUCCCCGCAGGCGUCGGCCCCGCCCCUCCCCGCAGGCGCCUGGCCCCGCCCCUGGCCGGGUCCCGCCCACAUCCGGAGGCUCAGGGCAGGACGCGGGCUGUUCCCGGGUUAGUCAGCAGGGGGCGCGCGGGUUGCUCUGGCCCGGCGGCUCCCGCUGAAAUCAGCACAGCAGCAGGGAGGGUGACACUGCCCCCGAUGCAGGUCAAACUACUAACAAAUGAUGUGGCCGGAGAAUACUAUACUUGACAGCACGAUGACGAACACGUCAGUAUAAAAUGAGAUCAUGAAGUAUGGUGUGCCCAGCUCUGCGGUUAGUUCACAGUGUUUUACAGAGCGUCGUUUCCAAAUGCUCAGGGAACACCAGCUACCUAUAAUAACACGUGACACGCCCCUUCGUCAACACUCAGCACAUCUGCAAUAAUGGCCCAGCCUGAUCUUCGCGUUGGAGGUGAGGACACAGGCCCUGGAGGGUUCAAGUGGCAAGGUCACAGAAGUGGGCAAAAGAGAACACAGCGCCCCCUGCCGGGACUGCCCCAGGCUCUGCAUCUAUAAUCCCUGGCUUGCUCCCCACUCGCCUCCCUGACCACAGCUCCGAGGCCUCUGAAAAGCCUGACAAGGUGGGCAGAAGGUCCCUGUGGUGUCGCCCCCAGGGCAGGGAUGGGCCAUGGAGCUUAUCCGGGAUGGCGGAGCUGGGACCCGCUGAAGGAAGCGGAGCCCUGGAGAGGGUGCAUCUCUGCCCUCACCCCCGUGGUGUGGAGUUGGAGAGCCUUGACUGCGGGGCUGGGGAAGGUGGGCAGGCCCAGGGCAGUGGGGGAGCCGCCUGCUCAGCAGGAGGGCCAGAGGGAG
This 4638-nucleotide long non-coding RNA is filed under the name Macaca mulatta (Rhesus monkey). RNAcentral describes it as "lncRNA (ENSMMUG00000048948.2)". The record is from RNAcentral. Lineage: Eukaryota; Metazoa; Chordata; Mammalia; Primates; Cercopithecidae.